UCGUUAUCAUCUUCAUUAUCAUCAUUAUCGUCAUCAUCGUUAUCGUUAUUAUUAUUAUAUUGUCGCUAUCGUCAUGAAUAUCAUUGAUAUCGUCGUUAUCAUCAUCGUUAUCGUCAUUAUCGUUAUUGUCAUUGUCGUUAUCAUCACUAUCGUCAUUGUUAUCAGCGUUAUCGUCGUUAUCAUCAUCGAUAUCAUCAUUGAUAAGAUAUUAAUGACGUAACGAUGAGCUUGUCACUGUUAUCAUCAUUAACAUCGUUAUCACUGUCAUCGUUAUCAUCAUCAUCGUCAUCGUCAUUGUCGCCAUCACCCCGGCAAUGACGUCAUCGGCACCAGUGCCACCCAGUACAAACCAGUCCGAACUGGUGCCACCACCAGUGCUGCCCAGUGUGUCCCAGUGCCCCCCAGUGUGU
This 410-nucleotide long non-coding RNA is filed under the name Anas platyrhynchos platyrhynchos (common mallard). Its description in RNAcentral is "lncRNA (ENSAPLG00000029792.1)". The record is from RNAcentral. Lineage: Eukaryota; Metazoa; Chordata; Aves; Anseriformes; Anatidae.